UGACUGUCAGGCCACCUUAAGCCACAGUACGGAAGAAGCUGUGCUGCCUGUGAGCCCCGUCCAAGGACGUUAAAAGAAGAAGUCAGGCCCCAAAGCCACGGUUUGAGCAAACCGUGCUGCCUGUAGCUCCGUCGUGGGGACGUAAAAACCUGGGAGGCUGCAAACUGUGGAAGCUGUACGCACAGUGUAGCAGACUAGUGGUUAGAGGAGACCCCUCCCAUGACACAACGCAGCAGCGGGGCCCGAGCAUUGAGGGAAGCUGUACCUCCUUGCAAAGGACUAGAGGUUAGAGGAGACCCCCCGCAAAUAAAAACAGC
This 317-nucleotide long non-coding RNA is filed under the name dengue virus type 3. Its description in RNAcentral is "Dengue virus 3 partial sfRNA1". The stretch from base 153 to 224 matches the Rfam family "Flavivirus DB element". Lineage: Riboviria; Orthornavirae; Kitrinoviricota; Flasuviricetes; Amarillovirales; Flaviviridae. The record is from RNAcentral.